Molecule: long non-coding RNA, 442 nt
Organism: Mustela lutreola (European mink)
Lineage: Eukaryota; Metazoa; Chordata; Mammalia; Carnivora; Mustelidae
Exons: 3
Source: RefSeq, a predicted model, not a curated record
GAGCCAGCAGGUGGUCCUGCCCCCGAGCGGCGGAGGGCGACACUACAACCUCGCCUACGUUUCUGCAGGGCAGCCCCGCCGCUGUUGAUGCCGGGUUGGCUACAGAACACUCAAAAAUUGCAAAGAGAAAUAUUGUGUUCUGGAAAUUCUUCUGAGCAUUUUUUUCCAAUAUCGUCCUUAUGCUCUUCUGAUCCUCUCUUGAACUGUUGGACUAAAGCAGCUGACGCUUCCACCAGCAACCAGAGUCAUCCUGUCCACUACUGUGGGAACAGAGGGUUUCCAUUUGGAACUGCAGACCGAGCCUAAAGUCUGGUGGCCCUUUGGUGCCAGGAUAGCAGAAAUGAUUCUACCAAUGCCAGCGGCAUGCACCAGAAACCAGGAAGGAAUCAUACAGCUGAGCCAAACUGCUGUACUUUAAAACACUUGACCACAAUUCUCCAGU